GAACCUUCAGACAGAGAUAGACAGACACUAACGUGGGAGGUUUGGGCUUGGAGCUUCUUCCUGCAGUGUCCUCUUGUUCUUGCAGGGGGUCCCCAAAUCCUGAAGGGCUGUGCUACACCAGAGGUCUGCCACCUACACGUGAACUCCACCCUAGGCCCCGAGGAGUCUGGGUUUCGUCUCACUGCCAAGCCUGAAUGCAGCUACCUGGCUCCUCCCACUCCACCAGGUCCCCAUGCAACUGUGACCCACCACAAGGACAAGGCUACCAUCUGUUUCACCUGCUCAGACCUCUAUCGCUGUGAUCCUCUCCCAUGCCCGGAAGAUAGGAGCUACUGCCUUCAGACAGCAGGCGUCACAGCCUUGGGGGAAGGCAGUUCUGUCACCUGGAGAAACGGUUACUGUGUGGCCUCCACGGACUGCAGAGUUGACAACUCCAUCUCUGCGUUGACCUACGGCGUCAGCUUCGGCUUCUGGGUCAACACCACUUGUUGCCGAGGCAACUGCCAGGAGCCCAUUCCUCUCGCAGCUCAGCUGGCCUCACCCACCUUGAGCAAUUUCCUGUGUCCCACAUGUCCUGGGAGCCACUUGGGUCCCUGCAAUUCCUCCUUCUACAUGCAGUGUCCCAGUGGGGAGACCAACUGUGUCCAGCUGGACCUGGUGUCUGAAGAAGGUAAGGUGUGUGUGUGUAUGUGUGUGUGCACGUGUGAGCCUGAGCACACUGGUUUCAGAUGCAGGCAUGCCUGAGUUUGGGGUCUGCCCUCCAUCUUUACUCUGUGUGGCCAGAGACAAGCAACUUUAUCUCUGUGCCUCAGUGUUCUCUUCUCGUAAAUGGGUAUAAUGGAGGCACGCUUUUCAGAGUGUUGUGAGGACAAAUGAGCUCAUAAGGGAGGUGAUACAGGAGAGGGUAUGAGAACAGGACUCUAGGGCCAAGCUACCUGGGUUCAAAUCCUGGAUCCAUCACUUAUGAGCUGGGUGACUUUGGGCAGGUGACUUAGUCUCUAUGUGCCUCAAUUUCUCCAUCUGAAAAAGAGGUUAAUAAUAGUUUUUAAGUCUCAAGACUGUUGUGAGAAUUAAAUAAGAUAAACCAUUAAACUUCUAGAUCAGUGCUGUCCAAAAGAAAUAUAAUGUGAGUCACAUGGAAAUUUUAAAACUUUCUAAGUAACCUCAUUAAACAAGUAAACAGUAACAGAGGAAAUGAACUUAAUAAUAUAUUUUAUUUAACACAAUUUAUCCAACAGUUAUCAACUCUAACAUGUAAUCAAUAUUAGAAAUUAUAAAUGAGAUGUCUUGCAUUCAUUGUUUUCCUACUAAGUCUUUGAAAUCUCAUGUAAAUUUCACAUGCACAAGCAUGGCAACUCAAACCAGCCACAUCUCAAGGGUUCAAUAGCCACAUGUGGCUAGUGGUUACUGUAUCGAACAGCAUAAUUCUAGAACAUAGCAAGUGCAAUAUGUGGCAUUUCAGUGAAUCUAAGCUGGUAUCAGUAGGAAGACACAAGAUAACUCUAUUCAGAAGUGUUAAAAUGUGUGCAUGUGUAAGUGGGGGGGGCGAUGUGCCUUGCAAUUUAUAAAAUCUGGUAAGCACUAGUGGCCAUGACCGUUAUGUGUGUAUAAGGCUUAUGUAGGCCGGGCGAGGUGGCUUAUGCCUGUAAUCCCAGCACUUCCUGAGGCCAGGAGUUUGAGACCAGCCUAGGCAACAAGCAAGAUCCCAUCUCUGGGGAAAAAAAAAAGGCUUUCAUGGGCUAGACAGGCCUUCAAUCAAGUAUUGUGCAGGGAAUGGAUGGAUCAGGGAACUUGGGUCUGUGUGUGCAUGUCUGUGUUUCUGUCCAUGAAUCGGGUGGGUGUGUUUGUGUUGAUCGUGUAUGGGCCUCUGGGGGCAUCGGGCAAGCUGUAUGUGACUGAGGUGUGUGUGUGUGUGUGUGUGUGUGUGUGUGUGCACGUGUUCAUGGGUGUGCACAGGAUGAGCCUGGAGCAGUGACUCACAAACACAGUUCUGGGAGGAAGUGUAGACCAGCAUAGGGCAAAAUGAGACAAAUCUGCAACAUGCCGUGAGACUUGCAUUUCUUUUUAACUUUUUUUUUAUGGAGAAGUCAAAGAUAAAUAAAAGAAUGAACACUUUAGUAAAGCCCCGUGUAGACCCUUCGCCCAACUCUGAUAACCAUCCACUCCUGGCCAAUCCUGUUCCAUCUCCACCUGCCUCAUACUAUUUUGCAGCAAAUUCAGAUAUUGCAUCACUUCAUCCAUAAGCAUUUCCGUACAUGGCUCUAAAAGAUAAAGACUUACAAAUAACCUACAAUUAUGAGGUUUUUCAAAUUGGAAAAAAAUAAGACCAUUUUGCUUCCAUGUCCCGCAUCAAGUCUCCAAUAAACUGGUUACACCUGCAUAUUGCUAUGUAGACAUACAUAUAGCACAUCAUAUCAUGUUACAGUAUAUCAUAUAUGGCUCGGGAGAAGGAAAAAUUGGGAAAGCUGGGCACUAAGCAGGUUGGGGGACGGUGAGCGAAACAGAGUGGCCUCCGAGCGUGUGUGCGCAUCGGCCACAGUGAAAGUGUAUCUGCGACAUAUUCAUGCGUGUAAGGUAGAAAAAGAAUCCCAGCCGUGACCAGCCCCUAGUUCAAGGAGCAGGGCAUUCCCGGUGAGUUUUCACGGAGAACACUGACCCGAGGGGACCUCGGGCGCGCGUGUGUGCAAGGCGCGCGCGUGCAGGGGUGACGCUCUGCCCGCCCGCGCGUGUCCCCACGGUCGCCUCCUCACACCCGGUC
Molecule: long non-coding RNA, 2758 nt
Organism: Microcebus murinus (gray mouse lemur)
Lineage: Eukaryota; Metazoa; Chordata; Mammalia; Primates; Cheirogaleidae
Source: Ensembl